Molecule: long non-coding RNA, 735 nt
Organism: Chlorocebus sabaeus (green monkey)
Lineage: Eukaryota; Metazoa; Chordata; Mammalia; Primates; Cercopithecidae
Source: RefSeq, a predicted model, not a curated record
UUCAUUUUAGAUUCAUACAAGCAGAAGAAGGAAACUUGGGAAACACAAAGUCUCCUUUGAAGGAAAGAAAUCCUGAAUGAAGAAACAGGGGGAUAUACUGCCAUCUUAAACCAACCCAAACGCCUCUGCCGCAGUCGCAGUUAUUUAGGGUGGAGGAGCGGGCUCUGGCAACUAGAGAAGGUGGCCGCAGCAUGGGGACACCCGAAUUGAGGAGCUGUUUGGGCAAUAAGCUGAUUUAGAGAAUAAAGACCUACACAGAUGGGAGUGGAAUCUGCAACUGCUCAAUCCAUCCACUGAGAAAUCCCAGAAAAGAUGGACAAUCCAUAACUGAAACCCAAACUUCGGCACAACGAUCAAAUUCUACAUGCAUAAAGCAAGAGCUCUGUGUGCCAGACCCAUCUUAAAGCCACCCCACCCAGAAGACAGAGUCUGUCUCCUUCCCCUAAACAAUGUGCAGAAACCGCCCUGGUAUUUCACGGGUUCUCACUGAGGAAAAUUGAGUUUUGUUCAGUGAUGCCCCUUCUGCACUGGUUAGUUUCAUGUGACAAAGAGCUCUAGGAAGGACUUUUGCUAGGGGAACGUAGGAUUGUUCCAGCAAGAUGAAGGCCUAGAAGACCUGGAUGGCCUGGGUGUUUUCUUCCCAGGGAGAGCAGAGGAGGCCCGGAUUUGAACUCGAGUCUUAUGACUUUGCCAUUGAGGCAACAUCCAAAAUAAAAAUAGCGUGCUAACCCCAAA